GCCCUGGAACGGGNCGUCAUAGAGGGUGAGAAUCCCGUCUGGNAUGGGGUGUCCACGCCCGUNGAAGCUCCUUCGACGAGUCGAGUUGUUUGGGAAUGCAGCUCUAAAUGGGUGGUAAAUUUCAUCUAAAGCUAAAUACUGGCCGGAGACCGAUAGCGCACAAGUAGAGUGAUCGAAAGAUGAAAAGCACUUUGAAAAGAGAGAUAAACAGCACGUGAAAUUGUUGAAAGGGAAGCGCUUGCGACCAGACUCGCCCACGGGGUUCAGCCGGCAUUCGUGCCGGUGUACUUCCCCGUGGGCGGG
This 303-nucleotide ribosomal RNA is filed under the name soil fungal sp. DM223. RNAcentral's name for it is "eukaryotic LSU rRNA". It matches the Rfam family "Eukaryotic large subunit ribosomal RNA", at positions 187 to 495 of the family's 3401-position model. The record is from RNAcentral. Lineage: Eukaryota; Fungi.